Molecule: ribosomal RNA, 2257 nt
Filed under: human oral metagenome
Description: bacterial LSU rRNA
Rfam family: Bacterial large subunit ribosomal RNA
Source: RNAcentral
UCGUUGAUUUUUGAGCGUUCGGUGGAUGCCUUGGCAUCGGGGGCCGAUGAAGGACGUGGUGGCCUGCGAUAUUCCUCGGGGAGCCGGCUUGCGGGCUGUGAUCCGAGGGUUUCCGAAUGGGGGGACCCGGCGCCCGUUGUGGGGCGUCACCCGUGUCUGAAGUUCAUAGGGCGCGGGGGGUGACGCGGGGAAGUGAAACAUCUCAGUACCCGCAGGAGUGGAUAUUCCGUGAGUAGUGGCGAGCGGAAGCGGAUGAUGGCUAAACCGUGCGCGUGCGAUCACCCGGCGGGGGUUGCGCGUGCGGUGUUGUCGGGGCGCGCUGUUCCCGUCUCCGCCCGGGGCGGGGCGCAGUGCAUCAAACCGGUCGGGUAGCCGAACCCCCUGGGAUGGGGGGCCGCAGCGGGUGACAGCCCCGUAGGCGGAACCCGGCGGGCUGCGCGGGCGCGGCCCCCAGUAGCACGGGGCCCGUGGAAUCCUGUGUGAAUCUGCCGAGACCACUCGGCCGCCUGAAUACCUCCCGAUGACCGAUAGCGGACGAGUACCGUGAGGGAAUGGUGAAAAGUACCCCGGGAGGGGAGUGAAACAGUACCUGAAACCGGGCGCUCACGAGCCGUCAGAGCCCCUUGUGCGCAUCCUCGGGCCGUGUGUCCGGGGGGCGGGGGUGAUGGCGUGCCUAUUGAAGAAUGAGCCUGCGAGUCGCCGCCGCGUCGCGAGGUUAACCCGUGUGGGGGAGCCGUAGCGACAGCGAGUCCGAAUGGGGCGCCCAGUGGCGCGGCGCGGACCCGAAGCGGGGUGAUCUACCCAUGGCCAGGUUGAAGCACGUGUAAGAGCGUGUGGAGGACCGCACCCGCCUCAGUUGAAAAUGGGGGGGAUGAGCUGUGGGUAGGGGUGAAAGGCCAAUCAAACCCCGUGAUAGCUGGUUCUCCCCGAAAUGCAUUUGGGUGCAGCGUCCCGUGCUCCCCGGCGGAGGUAGAGCUACCGGUUGGCUGAUGGGCCCCACAGGGUUACUGGCGUCAGCCGAACUCCGAAUGCCGUCGGGCGGUGAGCGGGGCAGUGAGACCGCGGGGGAUAAGCUUCGCGGUCGAGAGGGGAACAGCCCGGAUCGCCGGCUAAGGCCCCUAAGCGCGCGCUAAGUGGGAAAGGAUGUGCGGUCGCGGUGACAACCAGGAGGUUGGCUCAGAAGCAGCCAUCCUUGAAAGAGUGCGUAAUAGCUCACUGGUCAAGUGGUCGUGCGCCGACAAUUGAGCGGGGCUCAAGCGCGCCGCCGAAGCCGCGGAUCCGCCGCGAUAGGGCUCUGCCGCCCCCAUGUUGGGGGGUGGUGGGGCGCGGCGGGUGGUAGGGGAGCGUCCCGCGCCGGGGGAAGCCGCCGGGUGACCGGGGGUGGACGGCGCGGGAGUGAGAAUGCAGGCAUGAGUAGCGAUACUGGGGUGAGAAGCCCCAGCGCCGCGUGACCAAGGGUUCCAGGGCCAGGCUAGUCCGCCCUGGGUGAGUCGGGACCUAAGGCGAGGCCGACGGGCGUAGUCGAUGGAUGACGGGUUGAUAUUCCCGUACCGGACCGGAUACCGACCGUGCCGACGCGCGGGUGCUGACCCACGCCCCGCGCCGCCCGUGUACGCCUCCGCGUCCCGGUCUUCGGGCCGGGCGGGGGCGGGGCGGCGGGGGUCUGGGGACCCUCCGCGCAGGUAGGCAAGCGUAUUAACAGGGGUGACGCGCAGUGGUGGCCCCGCGGGCCUGAUGGCUCGGCCCGUCCAAGCGCGCGGCCCGCCGCCCAGGCAAAUCCGGGCGGCUGCCUUCGAUGGCGGGGGUGAGGCGCGACGGUGACCCGGCCCGAUGGGGCCGGGGAAGCAGGGUGAUCCUGAGGCGCCUAGAAAAGCCUCGACGCGAGGGGCCGGUCCGCCCGUACCCCAAACCGACACAGGUGGUCGGGCAGAGCAUGCCCAGGCGCACGGGCGAACCGUGGUGAAGGAACUCGGCAAAACGCCCCCGUAACUUCGGGAGAAGGGGGGCCCGAACCCUGAGGCCCCGAGCGGGCUGGGGGUGAGGGUCGCAGAGGCCAGGGGGGAGCGACUGUUUACUAAAAACACAGGUCCGUGCGAAGCCGCAAGGCGAUGUAUACGGACUGACGCCUGCCCGGUGCUGGAAGGUCAAGAGGACCCGUCAGCCCCCCUUGCGGGGGUGAAGCGGUGAAUUCAAGCCCCAGUGAACGGCGGUGGUAACUAUAACCAUCCUAAGGUAGCGAAAUUCCUUGUCGGGUAAG